GAGACUAACAAUAAGGCAUGGCGGCGAUU
This 29-nucleotide small RNA is filed under the name Bombyx mori (domestic silkworm). Its description in RNAcentral is "ovarian small RNA-15694". The record is from RNAcentral. Lineage: Eukaryota; Metazoa; Arthropoda; Insecta; Lepidoptera; Bombycidae.